CGAGGAGAAACGAACGGUGUUCGUCGUUCGGGUAAACUCGGUCGUCGAGCAGCUGCUUCGAAACUCGGAAACUGCUCAGUCGCUUCGCGCGCUCCAAACCGAACGUGUCGUCUCGAUUCGUUUAUCUUUCUUCGUCCGUCGUUGGUUCAUUGUAUAAUUUUUUCGUAUACGGUUCGAGGGUUUUGUAUCUGAAACAAUUUAAUCGUAUGGACUCUUGUUGAAAAGAAAAAAAUAAAAAAAAAAAAAUAAGAAAAAAAGAAAGAAAGAAUUAAAAUAAAAUAUUACCAUCGUCAUCGAGAAAGUUUAUCGUGGAAAAAGUUUCGAAUGAUUCGACGAUAGAUACUCUCUUCUUCCAUUCGUAAGUAGUAGUACUCCUACCUAGUUGUCGUUUAAAAGAGAGGUUUCGAGAGGAGGAACGACAGUUUGGGGGUUGGAAAAAAUAAAGAAGAAUAAGAAGAAAAAGAAAAA
This 468-nucleotide long non-coding RNA is filed under the name Polistes fuscatus (common paper wasp). RNAcentral describes it as "uncharacterized LOC122520695". The record is from RNAcentral. Lineage: Eukaryota; Metazoa; Arthropoda; Insecta; Hymenoptera; Vespidae.